This 533-nucleotide ribosomal RNA is filed under the name Citrobacter freundii. Its description in RNAcentral is "bacterial SSU rRNA". It matches the Rfam family "Bacterial small subunit ribosomal RNA", at positions 948 to 1480 of the family's 1533-position model. The record is from RNAcentral. Lineage: Bacteria; Pseudomonadati; Pseudomonadota; Gammaproteobacteria; Enterobacterales; Enterobacteriaceae.
CUCUCGCUCCUUCCAUUAACCGGACCUACUUUCCUUCUUUACCAUCCAGGGAAUUUAGCAGAGAUGCUUUGUUUCUUUGGGAACCCUGCUCUCAGGUGCUGCAUGGCCGUCGUCAGUUGUGUUGUGAAAUGUUGGGUUAAGUCCCGCAACGAGCGCAACCCUUAUCCUUUGUUGCCAGCGAUUCGGUCGGGAACUCAAAGGAGACUGCCAGUGAUAAACUGGAGGAAGGUGGGGAUGACGUCAAGUCAUCAUGGCCCUUACGAGUAGGGCUACACACGUGCUACAAUGGCAUAUACAAAGAGAAGCGACCUCGCGAGAGCAAGCGGACCUCAUAAAGUAUGUCGUAGUCCGGAUUGGAGUCUGCAACUCGACUCCAUGAAGUCGGAAUCGGUAGUAAUCGUGGAUCAGAAUUACACGGUGAAUACGUUCCCGGGCCUAGUACACACCGCCCGUCACACCAUGGGAGUGGGGCGCAAAAGAAGUAGGUAGCUAACCAUCGGGAGGGCUAGAGCCACCAGGAUCCAGCACUAUGC